Molecule: ribosomal RNA, 142 nt
Filed under: Bacillus velezensis
Lineage: Bacteria; Bacillati; Bacillota; Bacilli; Caryophanales; Bacillaceae
Description: partial 23S ribosomal RNA
Rfam family: Bacterial large subunit ribosomal RNA
Source: RNAcentral
GGUUAAAUUAGAAAGGGCGCACGGUGGAUGCCUUGGCACUAAGAGCCGAUGAAGGACGUGACUAACGACGAUAUUCUAGGGGGAGCAGUAAGAAAGCUUUGAUCCGGGUAUUUCGGAAUGGGGAAAAGCACCACUCGUAAUG